AUUGAACGCUGGCGGCAUGCCUUACACAUGCAAGUCGAACGGCAGCAUGGGAGCUUGCUCCUGAUGGCGAGUGGCGAACGGGUGAGUAAUAUAUCGGAACGUGCCCAAGAGUGGGGGAUAACCAGUCGAAAGAUUGGCUAAUACCGCAUACGAUCUAAGGAUGAAAGUGGGGGAUCGCAAGACCUCAUGCUCCUGGAGCGGCCGAUAUCUGAUUAGCUAGUUGGUGGGGUAAAGGCCUACCAAGGCAUCGAUCAGUAGCUGGUUUGAGAGGACGACCAGCCACACUGGGACUGAGACACGGCCCAGACUCCUACGGGAGGCAGCAGUGGGGAAUUUUGGACAAUGGGGGCAACCCUGAUCCAGCAAUGCCGCGUGUGUGAAGAAGGCCUUCGGGUUGUAAAGCACUUUUGUCAGGGAAGAAACGGCGAGGGCUAAUAUCCCUUGCUAAUGACGGUACCUGAAGAAUAAGCACCGGCUAACUACGUGCCAGCAGCCGCGGUAAUACGUAGGGUGCAAGCGUUAAUCGGAAUUACUGGGCGUAAAGCGUGCGCAGGCGGUUGUGCAAGACAGAUGUGAAAUCCCCGGGCUCAACCUGGGAAUUGCAUUUGUGACUGCACGGCUAGAGUGUGUCAGAGGGGGGUAGAAUUCCACGUGUAGCAGUGAAAUGCGUAGAUAUGUGGAGGAAUACCGAUGGCGAAGGCAGCCCCCUGGGAUAACACUGACGCUCAUGUACG
RNAcentral lists this ribosomal RNA (734 nucleotides) under uncultured beta proteobacterium. RNAcentral's name for it is "bacterial SSU rRNA". It matches the Rfam family "Bacterial small subunit ribosomal RNA", at positions 28 to 755 of the family's 1533-position model. The record is from RNAcentral. Lineage: Bacteria; Pseudomonadati; Pseudomonadota; Betaproteobacteria.